UUGAGAUGGAGUCUCGCUCUGUCACCCAGGCUGGAGUACUGUCGCCUGAUCUUGGCUCACUGCAACCACUGCCUCCCGGGUCCAGGCGAUUCUCCUGCCUCAGCCUCCCACGUAACUGGGAUUACAGGUGCAUGCUACCACACCUGGCCAUUUUUUUGUAUUUUUAGUAGAGAUGGGGUUUCACUGUGUUAGCUAGGAUGGUCUUGAUCUGACCCCGUGAUCCGCCCGCCUCGGCCUCUCAGAGCUGAGAGGAACAAAGAGAAUCUCAGUCCAGCUCAAGUUUUCAGCAUGAAGGGACAGAGAAAAGGCUAUCGUGGCUCAUUUUUCCCUGUUGAAAUGAGCAGCCAUGGCAGCUCUUCCCUGGCACCAAGCUUGGGAAGUCGGCACCUUCUCCAGUCUUCAUGUCAGCUGUGGAGAUGCAGGGAGUCCUGCUUGCUAGCAGAAUAAGAAAAUGGAUUCCUUCAAUUCAAUGCUAUCCAGUCUGUAGCAUUAAUCCUCUCUUCCCCUCUCUUCCUGUGGAAAAGCUUACUGGCUCACCUAUUUGGAAGGAGUCCUAAGGACAGGGAGGGUAAAGGAAUGUUAGCAGGAAAGCUGCAGGAAGUUAGAGAAAGUCUAGGGCCAGUUUCUGGCAGAAAAAAAAAAUUUCCCCCUUCCCCCUUGGGCAGUAAAGAAGAAAAUUAAAUGAGAGUGUCAAAACGGUUUGCUGAUGUGCAAACCGCUUACUAGACCUUGGUCAAGGUCUAAUAUCUUUUUAAGAAUGAUGGCUUUGGAAUUAGACCUUUUGGGGUUCAGAUCUCAGCUCUUCCUUUUGAUUGGCUGUGGAGCUGUGGGUAAUUUGCUUAAUCUCUUUGAGCUUUCAGUUCACUAUGAAACACGACCAUGUGGAGAUUAAAGAAUCAAAUGUACUACCCAAUACACAGUAGUUCACCAUACUGAAUGUUCACACUUUGCACCAUGAACCCAGGUGAGGUACCUAUGAUCAUCCAGGCCAGGACCAGGGUGAGGCAAGUGAGGAGCUGAAGUACACCAUGGUGUAUAUCUAUCACUUUCUUUAUCCAAUCCACUGUUGAUGGGCACCUGCGUUGAUUCCAUGUCUUUGUUAUUGUGAACACCACAGCAAUGAACAUUUCUACAGGCUGUACAAGAAGCAUGAUUUCAACAUCUGCUUCUGCUGAGGGCCUCAGACUUCUUCCACUUAUGAUGAAAGUUUAAGGGGAACUGGUAUGUGCAGACAUCACAUGGCAAGAAAGGAAGCAUAAGAGAGAGGAGAAGGCUGUCAUGCCCUUUUUAACAACCAGUGCCCACAGGAACUAACAAAGUAAGAACUCACUCAAUAACUCAAGUGUGACAUCAAGCCGUUCAUGACCCACAUACCUCUCACUAAGCCCCAUCUCCAACAUUGGGGAUCAAAUUUCAACAUGAAGUUUGGAGGGUCAACUAUCCAAACUAUAGCAGAAGGUUUGUUUUGAUUUGAUUUGUUUUGUUGUGUUUUUCAUAUAGAUGUCUGGGUAUCUCCUCUACAGAGCCUGAUUAAAUUGGUCUGUUGGAUUUGGGUAGUGUUAUUUUUUAAGUUUCCCAGAUGAUUCUCAGCCCAGGGUUGAGAAUGACUUAUGGCUUCUUCUUGGACUCAGGAGACUGCAUAGAUGGGUGCUAUGGAGUGAGGAGCACCUUCUGGGGUUGUGGUGGGGUCAGAAGUAACUGAACAGGAUCUAACAGGUUUGGGAAAGCCUCUUAUAACACAAUUCACAAUUUUCUAACCUGUUUAAAC
RNAcentral lists this long non-coding RNA (1768 nucleotides) under Homo sapiens (human). RNAcentral describes it as "HSALNT0181224". The record is from RNAcentral. Lineage: Eukaryota; Metazoa; Chordata; Mammalia; Primates; Hominidae.